UUACUGCAAUAUAUUCCUUUUAUUUAUUAUUGUCUCAGAGGAAGAAUGUUACAAUGUAGUGUUUGAAGCAGCAUUUACUUGGCAGCAGAGGACAAAGGAUGCAUACAAACACAGGCAGAAAAACAACUUUAUACAUAAUCUCAUAUUCAGAAGAAAAAUAAAAGCAACCAAAUUCACUAUUGAGACCUUUUUUACUUAUGUAGGGGGAUAUUUUCAAGGAUUCUUUGCCUAGAGAAUUAUGUAGCUUGAUAAAAGCACUUGGCAGAGAACAGAAUAUAAAGCUAUUUCCAAUACUACUCAUGAAGAUAGGUCUGAGGUAGAAAGGUGGUCACGGCUUUCCUCUUCUGUAAAAUGUGUGGGGUUUUUCUUGUCAAAUAACUACACUAUUUUAUUUAUUUAUUUAUUUUAAAUAGGUGAAGCAUUUGUAGGAGCCAGCAUCUUCUAUUCCCACCUUGACAAUUUUGCUGCACUUGCUCAGAAUACUUAGCAUUUAUAUAAAGCAUUUCAGACACUAACUAAGCAAGCCCUACAACACCUUUGAGAGGUAAGUACUAUCAUCCCCAUUUUACAGAUGGGAAAACAGAGGCAGAGUGGUUAAACGAUUUGUCAAAGGUUUCAGAAAGAACUGGCACUGGAGUCAAUGCUGUGCCCAAAUUACUCCCUGAGCAGCAGCACUCCAAGAGCAAAUACUAGGGUGCACGACAGCCUAGUUGGCACCGCAUCGCAAAAGCACUAGAAAUUCCUGACGUGCUGUCUUACUGUUCUCUAGCAUUUUUCAGUAGCAAUAGAGAAUUUACAACUCUUCCAAUACCAUUUUGAGAUAUCUUUUUUCUUCAGUAAUAAUUAAGAACAACACUGUUUUGUUUCUCUCCACUAUACAUGAAAUAUAUUGCAUGCAGUUUUACCAGUUAAAGGUAUGUUCUGAAAUUAAAGCAAGUGUCCAUGCAGCAUCAUAAACUCUGAAGGCAUUAAAAUUUCUUAAUAAUAAUUUUAAAACUAGAGAUCAGCUGAUCAGUGACAUAACUUUCCCGUAAUUAUCCCUAUUUAAGUACAUAAAUAAAUGAUUUCAAAGAUAAAGAUGAGUUGCAAGAUUACAAUGCCCAAGGGUAGUAUUUAAGAGCAUUGCAGUUAUUAAGAAAAUGCUCCAUCACUAAUAGUAUUGGAAAGGGCUUUCUAAUUGUCUCUUCAUCUCCAAGAGGCAGACACAAGAAGGGGAUCUUACAGAAAUGAGCUUUACUUCACAGACUGUAAAUUCCAAAACUUGAAGCAAGUUUGGCACAGCAGGGAAUGGCAAAGCUUUGUCUCUGAACAAAGUUGGGAAAGAUUACACUAACUUAGACCUUACUAUAUAAACAAGCUAUCAUCUAAGUCCUCUUUUUAGCUAUCUAUCUCCCGAUUCAAAGUAAAGUGAGGCUUAAAAAAAUAAUCCUCCAAAUGGAGUGUAUUGGCUGGAAAUAACCAAAAGUUAAAAAUACCAUUUUGGUGAUGUGUGAGGAUGAUGAGUUGAAAUGAGAGUUUACCUUGUUUAACAGCGUUAAAAUAUUGCAGCUUGUACCCAACAGCAAUUUCUGUUAACUAGUAACAAUAAUGCAGAUUAUGGGAACUUCAUAUGCCAACCCUGAAAACAAUUCAAGGGUAUUCUGAAAACUGUGUGGUCAGAUGGUUAGCAUAUAAAUAAUCAGUACAGGAUAUUAAAUGUGUAAGAAUACAACUAAGGGUAUUUUUACAAUGUAAAAGCAAAGAUCUGAAGGGAAUGUAUAAAUGUAACAUUUUGCUCCAAACUCCUUACGCAGUUCUCUUUACGAUUAUCAAAAAGAACAUAUAUAAAGCCCC
Molecule: long non-coding RNA, 1833 nt
Filed under: Strigops habroptila (Kakapo)
Lineage: Eukaryota; Metazoa; Chordata; Aves; Psittaciformes; Psittacidae
Description: lncRNA (ENSSHBG00005011062.1)
Source: RNAcentral